CAACGAGCACUAGAAGUGGAAAUAUCAAAUACAGAACAUAUAUUCACAUAGAUUUUGGAUUUGCAGUUUGAUAAAGUAAUAGUUCCUGGGACUUAUAACUUGACAAUUGGCUCUACUAUUCGCCGUCCUUGGGACCGUUCUUGGAACGGUGUAGUUAAAUACGAAUACAAGAAAAGUGGAACAAAUCUUGAGAAAGCAAGGUUAGUCAUCAUGCAACCUAACAUGGCUCGGAGAGUGUUUCCAUGUUGGGAUGAGCCCGAAUUAAAGGC
This is a long non-coding RNA of Harpegnathos saltator (Jerdon's jumping ant), 269 nucleotides long. RefSeq lists it as uncharacterized. The record is from RefSeq and is a predicted model, not a curated record. The transcript has 3 exons. NCBI's taxonomy places the organism in Eukaryota, Metazoa, Arthropoda, Insecta, Hymenoptera, Formicidae.